RNAcentral lists this unclassified non-coding RNA (315 nucleotides) under plant metagenome. Its description in RNAcentral is "partial contains 5.8S ribosomal RNA, internal transcribed spacer 2, and large subunit ribosomal RNA". The stretch from base 1 to 105 matches the Rfam family "5.8S ribosomal RNA", at positions 50 to 154 of the family's 154-position model. The record is from RNAcentral.
AAAAUGCGAUAAGUAAUGUGAAUUGCAGAAUUCAGUGAAUCAUCGAAUCUUUGAACGCACAUUGCGCCCGCCAGUAUUCUGGCGGGCAUGCCUGUUCGAGCGUCAUUUCAACCCUCAAGCCCCCGGGUUUGGUGUUGGGGAUCGGUCUGCGGUUCUACCGCGUCCCGGCCCCGAAAUCUAGUGGCGGUCUCGCUGCAGCCUCCAUUGCGUAGUAGCUAACACCUCGCAACUGGAACGCGGCGCGGCCAAGCCGUUAAACCCCCAACUUCUGAAUGUUGACCUCGGAUCAGGUAGGAAUACCCGCUGAACUUAAGC